UACGGGGGGGGUAAGCGUUGUUCGGAAUUACUGGGCGUAAAGGGCUCGUAGGCGGCCAACUAAAGUCAUACGUGAAAUCCCUCAGCUUAACUGGGGAACUGCGUGUGAUACUGGAUGGCUUGGAUUUGGGAGAGGGAUGCGGAAUUCCAGGUGUAGCGGUGAAAUGCGUAGAUAUCUGGAGGAACACCGGUGGCGAAGGCGGCAUCCUGGACCAAU
Molecule: ribosomal RNA, 216 nt
Filed under: uncultured bacterium
Lineage: Bacteria
Description: partial 16S ribosomal RNA
Rfam family: Bacterial small subunit ribosomal RNA
Source: RNAcentral